RNAcentral lists this unclassified non-coding RNA (307 nucleotides) under plant metagenome. RNAcentral's name for it is "partial contains 5.8S ribosomal RNA, internal transcribed spacer 2, and large subunit ribosomal RNA". The stretch from base 1 to 105 matches the Rfam family "5.8S ribosomal RNA", at positions 50 to 154 of the family's 154-position model. The record is from RNAcentral.
GAAAUGCGAUAAGUCAUGUGAAUUGCAGAAUUCAGUGAAUCAUCGAAUCUUUGAACGCACAUUGCGCCCGCCAGCACUCUGGCGGGCAUGCCUGUUCGAGCGUCAUUUCAACCCUCAGAACCCCUUGCGGGAUCUGGCGUUGGGGAUUGGCAUCCAGCCAGCCCCGAAAUCUAGUGGCGGUCCCUCCGCGACCUCCCCUGUGCAGUAGCGAUACCUCGCAGCGGGACAGCGGUCUGACCACGCCGUAAAACCCCCAACUUCUCAAGGUUGACCUCGAAUCAGGUAGGAAUACCCGCUGAACUUAAGC